UGGACCAGUGAUGAUGACAGGUGAUGGCUGAUCCAUGGAUGAUGGGCAGUGCGCAUCUGGGUAUCUGAGGUCCAA
Neogale vison (American mink) is the source of this 75-nucleotide small nucleolar RNA. Lineage: Eukaryota; Metazoa; Chordata; Mammalia; Carnivora; Mustelidae. The record is from Ensembl.